AUACAGAGGAUGCGAGCGUUAAUCGGAAUUACUGGGCGUAAAGCGCGCGUAGGCGGCUUAUUAAGUCAGAUGUGAAAUCCCCGGGCUCAACCUGGGAACUGCAUCUGAUACUGGUAAGCUAGAGUUUUGGAGAGGGAAGUAGAAUUUCAGGUGUAGCGGUGAAAUGCAUAGAGAUCUGAAGGAAUACCAGUGGCGAAGGCGACUUCCUGGCCAAAAACUGACGCUGAGGUGCGAAAGCGUGGGUAGCAAACGGGAUUAGAUACCCUAGUAGUCC
This 274-nucleotide ribosomal RNA is filed under the name uncultured bacterium. RNAcentral describes it as "partial 16S ribosomal RNA". It matches the Rfam family "Bacterial small subunit ribosomal RNA", at positions 523 to 796 of the family's 1533-position model. The record is from RNAcentral.